This 874-nucleotide ribosomal RNA is filed under the name Bacillus sp. (in: firmicutes). RNAcentral describes it as "bacterial SSU rRNA". It matches the Rfam family "Bacterial small subunit ribosomal RNA", at positions 17 to 875 of the family's 1533-position model. The record is from RNAcentral. Lineage: Bacteria; Bacillati; Bacillota; Bacilli; Caryophanales; Bacillaceae.
UCAUGGCUCAGGACGAACGCUGGCGGCGUGCCUAAUACAUGCAAGUCGAGCGAAUGGAAGGGAGCUUGCUCCCGGAAGUUAGCGGCGGACGGGUGAGUAACACGUGGGCAACCUGCCUGUAAGACUGGGAUAACUUCGGGAAACCGGAGCUAAUACCGGAUAAUUUCUUUCUUCUCAUGGAGGAAGGUUGAAAGAUGGCUUCGGCUAUCACUUACAGAUGGGCCCGCGGCGCAUUAGCUAGUUGGUGAGAUAACGGCUCACCAAGGCAACGAUGCGUAGCCGACCUGAGAGGGUGAUCGGCCACACUGGGACUGAGACACGGCCCAGACUCCUACGGGAGGCAGCAGUAGGGAAUCUUCCGCAAUGGACGAAAGUCUGACGGAGCAACGCCGCGUGAGUGAUGAAGGUUUUCGGAUCGUAAAACUCUGUUGUCAGGGAAGAACAAGUAUCGGAGUAACUGCCGGUACCUUGACGGUACCUGACCAGAAAGCCACGGCUAACUACGUGCCAGCAGCCGCGGUAAUACGUAGGUGGCAAGCGUUGUCCGGAAUUAUUGGGCGUAAAGCGCGCGCAGGCGGUCCUUUAAGUCUGAUGUGAAAGCCCACGGCUCAACCGUGGAAGGUCAUUGGAAACUGGGGGACUUGAGUGCAGAAGAGAAGAGCGGAAUUCCACGUGUAGCGGUGAAAUGCGUAGAGAUGUGGAGGAACACCAGUGGCGAAGGCGGCUCUUUGGUCUGUAACUGACGCUGAGGCGCGAAAGCGUGGGGAGCAAACAGGAUUAGAUACCCUGGUAGUCCACGCCGUAAACGAUGAGUGCUAAGUGUUAGAGGGUUUCCGCCCUUUAGUGCUGCAGUAACGCAUAAGCACUCCGCCUG